GAAAAGUGGGUCUGGACACAAGGUUAAAAUACUGGAAAAGAUCAUUUGGACACACAACCCAAGUCUUGCAGGCAAAAGUAAGGUGGUGGGAAAAGCAGCAGGUCGGCCUGCGAUAAAAACCUAGGGGACAGGAGUUCCCAUCAUGGCUCAGCGGUUAGCGAACCUGACUAGCAUCUAUGAGGCUGCGGGUUCAAUCCCUGGCCUGGCUCAGUGGGCUAAGGAUCCAGCGUUGCUGUGAGCUGUGGUGUAGGACAGAAAACCAUGGAAAAACUGCAGCAAGGAUAGGGAAGUGACAGGGACAUUUGGCAAAGGAGCAAGGUAAAAGGCAGCCCAAAGAGAGCGAACAGAUGUAGAGGCAGAGCCACAGACUGAAAGCUGGCAGGCUGAGUGUGCUCGGGGCAUGAGACAGGUCUCAACUCUCCUUGUUGUGAGUGAUCUUAGAGGGAACAGCAGUGAAGGCCCAUUCCGGCUUCCUUGGGAAAAUCCAGUAAACCAAGAGGUGGGGUUCCCUGAGCUUCCCCAGGCCCUCUCCCUGACUACUCAACGCAGGAUCAUUCUGGGGGAGAUCCCAGCAUGGACAACCCGGAGUGCUGAGGACACAGGACAAUGUCAAAUAAGACAAGGGUACACGAAAGAACUCUGAAAACCAUAAAGCACCUUAUAAAAAUGUGAAUCUCUCAGACAAAAAAAAAAAAAAAGACAAAGACCAGAGUCACAAUCUGGAGUGAAGAAUAUUUGUCAAGUACAGAUAUAUAUAUACAUCCCAAAUCAAGAUGCCCCUAACUAGACAUUCUAGUAACUUGAGAAGACAUAUCGGUUGGUAUGUUAACUUUCCUGUCCAACACUUUUCGGCACUGAAAAACUCUACCUAAGGCAUAAUAGGGAGCUCCUGGUAAACUAUCCUACUGAUCUAUGAAAAUGGACAUCUGAAUCUAAUGUAUUUCCAAGGAGGUUUCUGACACAAUGCAGAUCUUAACUAAUUAGGUGAAUUCCAUUCAAUGCAAUCACUCAUUGAAUGACUUCCAAGUGCACCACCACCAGCCACCAU
RNAcentral lists this long non-coding RNA (1048 nucleotides) under Sus scrofa (pig). RNAcentral describes it as "lncRNA (ENSSSCG00015013340.1)". Lineage: Eukaryota; Metazoa; Chordata; Mammalia; Artiodactyla; Suidae. The record is from RNAcentral.